This 466-nucleotide ribosomal RNA is filed under the name uncultured bacterium. Its description in RNAcentral is "bacterial SSU rRNA". It matches the Rfam family "Bacterial small subunit ribosomal RNA", at positions 38 to 518 of the family's 1533-position model. The record is from RNAcentral.
GGCGGCGUGCCUAACACAUGCAAGUCGAACGGACUGAUCCCUUCGGGAUGAAGUUAGUGGCGGACGGGUGAGUAACGCGUGAGCAACCUGCCUUUCAGAGGGGAAUAACGUUUGGAAACAGACGCUAAUACCGCAUAACGCAUAGGUGUCGCAUGGCAUUUAUGCCAAAGGAGCAAUCCGCUGAAAGAUGGGCUCGCGUCCGAUUAGAUAGUUGGUGGGGUAACGGCCUACCAAGUCGACGAUCGGUAGCCGGACUGAGAGGUUGAACGGCCACAUUGGGACUGAGACACGGCCCAGACUCCUACGGGAGGCAGCAGUGGGGGAUAUUGCACAAUGGGCGGAAGCCUGAUGCCAGCAACGCCGCGUGAGGGAAGACGGUUUUCGGAUUGUAAACCUCUGUCUUUGGUGACGAAGAAAUGACGGUAGCCGAGGAGGAAGCCACGGCUAACUACGUGCCAGCAGCAGC